GGUUCAGGAUGAACGCUAGCUACAGGCUUAACACAUGCAAGUCGAGGGGCAGCAGGAAUCUAGCUUGCUAGAUUUGCUGGCGACCGGCGCACGGGUGAGUAACGCGUAUCCAAACCUUCCCCUUAGUAGGGCAUAGCCCGUAGAAAUGCGGAUUAAUACCCUAUGUUAUUCGUCGAGGACAUCUGAAGUGAAUCAAAGGUUUUACCGCUAAGGGAUGGGGAUGCGUCUGAUUAGGCAGCAGGCGGGGUAACGGCCCACCUGGCCGACGAUCAGUAGGGGUUCUGAGAGGAAGGUCCCCCACAUUGGAACUGAGACACGGUCCAAACUCCUACGGGAGGCAGCAGUGAGGAAUAUUGGUCAAUGGUCGAGAGACUGAACCAGCCAAGUAGCGUGCAACGGAUGACGGCCCUAUGGGUUGUAAACUGCUUUUAUGCGGGGAUAAAGUGCACUACGUGUAGUGUUUUGUAGGUACCGCAUGAAUAAGGACCGGCUAAUUCCGUGCCAGCCGCUGC
Molecule: ribosomal RNA, 512 nt
Filed under: uncultured bacterium
Lineage: Bacteria
Description: bacterial SSU rRNA
Rfam family: Bacterial small subunit ribosomal RNA
Source: RNAcentral